This 484-nucleotide ribosomal RNA is filed under the name uncultured bacterium. Its description in RNAcentral is "partial 16S ribosomal RNA". It matches the Rfam family "Bacterial small subunit ribosomal RNA", at positions 30 to 507 of the family's 1533-position model. The record is from RNAcentral.
AUUGAACGCUGGCGGCAGGCCUAACACAUGCAAGUCGAGCGGAUGAAGGGAGCUUGCUCCUGGAUUCAGCGGCGGACGGGUGAGUAAUGCCUAGGAAUCUGCCUGGUAGUGGGGGAUAACGUCCGGAAACGGGCGCUAAUACCGCAUACGUCCUGAGGGAGAAAGUGGGGGAUCUUCGGACCUCACGCUAUCAGAUGAGCCUAGGUCGGAUUAGCUAGUUGGUGGGGUAAAGGCCUACCAAGGCGACGAUCCGUAACUGGUCUGAGAGGAUGAUCAGUCACACUGGAGCUGAGACACGGUCCAGACUCCUACGGGAGGCAGCAGUGGGGAAUAUUGGACAAUGGGCGAAAGCCUGAUCCAGCCAUGGCGCGUGUGUGAAGAAGGUCUUCGGAUUGUAAAGCACGUUAAGUUGGGAGGAAGGGCAGUAAGUUAAUACCUUGCUGUUUUGACGGUACCAACAGAAUAAGCACCGGCUAACUUCGUG